This is a long non-coding RNA of Nicotiana attenuata, 294 nucleotides long. RefSeq lists it as uncharacterized. The record is from RefSeq and is a predicted model, not a curated record. Lineage: Eukaryota; Viridiplantae; Streptophyta; Magnoliopsida; Solanales; Solanaceae. The transcript is spliced from 3 exons.
GCUUGAAGCUAAUAAUGAAGAGCUAAGUAGACAACUAAAUGAGUACCGCAGAAGAGGCUCUAGCACUGAGAAAUAUGAAACAGAAGUUAAAGUUAGUGGUGCCGUUCCAGUGAAAAGUGAAGGCCUUAAAAGAGGCUUGCAAAGCAUGGAUUCAUCUGGUUAUCCUGUGAAAGAAAAUGGUGAUCCAGGAGAUAUGGAAGAAGAAGCAGCAAAAGAGUGGGAACACACUCUCCUGCAAGACUCCUUAGACAAAGAAUUGAAUGAAUUAAAUAGGCGUUUAGAGCAGAAAGAGGU